UACGAAGGGGGCUAGCGUUGUUCGGAAUUACUGGGCGUAAAGGGCGCGUAGGCGGCCUUGCGCGUCGGGUGUGAAAGACCUGGGCUCAACCCGGGAAUGGCGCCCGAUACGGCAGGGCUCGAGUGUGGGAGAGGAUGGUGGAAUUCCCAGUGUAGAGGUGAAAUUCGUAGAUAUUGGGAAGAACACCGGUGGCGAAGGCGGCCAUCUGGACCAUAACUGACGCUGAGGCGCGAAAGCGUGGGGAGCAAAC
Molecule: ribosomal RNA, 250 nt
Filed under: uncultured bacterium
Lineage: Bacteria
Description: partial 16S ribosomal RNA
Rfam family: Bacterial small subunit ribosomal RNA
Source: RNAcentral